This 433-nucleotide ribosomal RNA is filed under the name uncultured bacterium. RNAcentral describes it as "partial 16S ribosomal RNA". It matches the Rfam family "Bacterial small subunit ribosomal RNA", at positions 29 to 507 of the family's 1533-position model. The record is from RNAcentral.
AACGAACGCUGGCGGCAUGCCUAACACAUGCAAGUCGAACGAGACCUUCGGGUCUAGUGGCGCACGGGUGCGUAACGCGUGGGAACCUGCCCUUAGGUUCGGAAUAACUCCCCGAAAGGGGUGCUAAUACCGGAUAAUGUCUUCGGACCAAAGAUUUAUCGCCUUUGGAUGGGCCCGCGUUGGAUUAGCUAGUUGGUAGGGUAAAAGCCUACCAAGGCGACGAUCCAUAGCUGGUCUGAGAGGAUGAUCAGCCACACUGGGACUGAGACACGGCCCAGACCCAUACGGGAGGGGGGGGGGGGGAAUAUGGGAGAAGGGGGGAAGGCUUGAUAACGCAGUGCCGGGGGGGUGAUGAGGCCGGUGGGGUAGAAAAGUCUUUUUACCCGGAGGGUUAAUGACGGUAAGGGGAAAAUAAGCCCCGGCUAACUCCGUG